Molecule: ribosomal RNA, 468 nt
Filed under: uncultured bacterium
Lineage: Bacteria
Description: partial 16S ribosomal RNA
Rfam family: Bacterial small subunit ribosomal RNA
Source: RNAcentral
GACGAACGCUGGCGGCGUGCUUAACACAUGCAAGUCGAACGGAAAGGCCCUGCUUUUGUGGGGUGCUCGAGUGGCGAACGGGUGAGUAACACGUGAGUAACCUGCCCUUGACUUUGGGAUGACUUCAGGAAACUGGGGCUAAUACCGGAUAGGAGCUCCUGCUGCAUGGUGGGGGUUGGAAAGUUUCGGCGGUUGGGGAUGGACUCGCGGCUUAUCAGCUUGUUGGUGGGGUAGUGGCUUACCAAGGCUUUGACGGGUAGCCGGCCUGAGAGGGUGACCGGCCACAUUGGGACUGAGAUGCGGCCCAGACUCCUACGGGAGGCAGCAGUGGGGAAUAUUGCACAAUGGGCGGAAGCCUGAUGCAGCAACGCCGCGUGCGGGAUGACGGCCUUCGGGUUGUAAACCGCUUUCGCCUGUGACGAAGCGUGAGUGACGGUAAUGGGUAAAGAAGCACCGGCUAACUACGUG